RNAcentral lists this ribosomal RNA (484 nucleotides) under uncultured bacterium. Its description in RNAcentral is "bacterial SSU rRNA". It matches the Rfam family "Bacterial small subunit ribosomal RNA", at positions 28 to 523 of the family's 1533-position model. The record is from RNAcentral.
GACGAACGCUGGCGGCGUGCUUAACACAUGCAAGUCGAACGAUUAAAGCUCUCUUCGGAGAGUGUAUAGAGUGGCGCACGGGUGAGUAACACGUAAGUAAUCUACCUUUGAGUGGGGAAUAACCCGGGGAAACCCGAGCUAAUACCGCAUAAUGCAGCGGCACCGCAAGGUGACAGUUGUUAAAGGAGCAAUCCGCUUAAAGAGGAGCUUGCGGCAGAUUAGCUAGGUUGGAAGGUAAUGGCUUACCAAGGCUUCGAUCUGUAUCCGGCCUGAGAGGGCGGUCGGACGACACUGACACUGAAUAACGGGUCAGACUCCUACGGGAGGCAGCAGUCGGGAAUUUUGGGCAAUGGGCGAAAGCCUGACCCAGCAACGCCGCGUGAAGGAUGAAGUAUUUUGGUAUGUAAACUUCGAAAGAAUGGGAAGAAUCAAUGACGGUACCAUUUAUAAGGUCCGGCUAACUACGUGCCAGCCGCCGCUUAAG